Molecule: long non-coding RNA, 2276 nt
Organism: Clupea harengus (Atlantic herring)
Lineage: Eukaryota; Metazoa; Chordata; Actinopteri; Clupeiformes; Clupeidae
Source: Ensembl
CCAUGACAACCUCAAAGACAACACUUUCAGUUUACAGCAAAGUCAGCAAGAACAGAAUUACAGAUUAAGAAGACUUAUUUUAACAAAGCAGCGGAGGAGAUAAGGAGGGGGAGUAGUUUGGAGGUUAUGGAGACAGAGGGAAAGGAUGCUGGGCAUCAGGAUGUCUACGAAAGCUUCGAAAGGCCUCAGGAUGGUGUCCCACUGGACUCAAUGCCCGUCACACAACAGGCGGGCGCCCACAAAAAGACUAAGCCCAAGGAACAGGAGAUGAGAGAGACCCACGAAAACCUCGUAAGGGCUUUCAUGGCUCACUUCGAGGCCCAUAACAGGCGUCGUGAGGUCACCACCCAGGACACACGGUAUGCCAGAGCGAAGGUGAGGAUGGAGAUGAACAGGGGGCUAACAGGGAUAGAGAGAAAGAGUGAGAUGGAGAGAAGAAGGAUGGAGCUGGAGAGAACAAGGAAGGAGGUGGGGAGACUGGAGAAGGAAGUGAAGCUAAUAAAAGAUGAGAUUCUAAGAAAAGAGGAAGUGGUGAGGAGAGCAGAGAUGGAGAGGAAGGGAAAGGAGAUUGAGAAAGUGAGGAUGGAGGAAAAGCAAAAAAGACAGGAACAGGAAAGAAGGAUAGAGAUGGAGAAAGCUGAAGCAGAGAUGGUGAGAAAGAGAGAGGAGAUGGAGCAAAAGUGGAGAAACAAGGAAGUGGAGAGAAGGAGAUCAGAGAUGGAAAGAUACAAAGAAAUGGAGAGGGAGAAACAGGCGAUAGAAAAAAGAAGACAGGAUAUUGAGAAAGUGAGAGUGGAGACAGAGCAAAAAAGAGAGGAACAGGAAAGAAGGAUAGACAUGGAGAGAGCUAAAGCAGAUAUAGUGAGAAAGAGAGAGGAGAUUGAGAAAGUGAGAGUGGAGAUGGAGCGAAAAAAAGAGGUAAAAAUUGAAAUACACAAAGAAAUGGAGAGGGAGGGACAUGAGGACCAGAGGCAAAAAGGAAAGGAGAGACAAGAGGGGAGUGAGAAAAUACAGGAGGAGACCUCCCAGCCAUUGAAGUCCAUGGGACUAUCCUUUGAAGACACUGAGGAUAGAUCAGAAGAAGACUGGAAGGAAACUGAGAAGGAGAUGAACAGGAGGGGGGAGGCUCUCUCAGGAGACAGCGAUGACAGCGACGGGGAGACUGACUCUGAUGACUUGUGGAUGGAUGAGGCGGAGAAACAGGCGAAGGAGGUGGAGCAAAUGAGAGAGGAGAUUCUAAGAAACGAGGAAGUGGAGAGAAGGAGAACAGAGAUGGAAAGAUACAAAGAAAUGGAAAGAGAGAAACAGGCGAUAGAGAAAAGAAGACAGAAUAUUGAGAAAGUGAGAGUGGAGACAGAGCGAAAAAGAGAGGAACAGGAAAGAAGGAUAGACAUGGAGAGAGCUAAAGCAAAGAUAGUGAGAAAGAGAGAGGAGAUUGAGAAAGUGACAGUAGAGACCCAGCAAAAAAGUGAGGAGGUAAAAAUGGAAAUACACAAAGACAUGGAGAAGGAGAGAGAUAAAGACCAGAGACAAAAAGGAAAGGAUAGACAAGAGGGAAGUGAUAAUUCAGGAAAAGAAAAGAAGGAGAAGAUGGAGAAGAAGGAGGAUGAGAAAGUGAAUGAGCCCCAAACGAGAGACAAGAGGAACUCAGAUAUGAUGUGGAAAAUUGAGGAGGAGACCUCCCAGCUGUGGAAGUCCAUGGGACUAUCCUUUGAAGACACUGAGGAUGGAUCAGAAGAAGACUGGAAGGAAACUGAGGAGGCCAGUGUAGACCUAGACUUGCUCUUCCUGAAGGACAAUGAAAAGACUGAAAUAGAUAGAGGAAAAGAAAGGAGAUUGGAAGAGGAGAACAAAUCAAGACAGCUAAAAGUGGAGACACAGCGAGAAAUGAAAACUGUGAGACUGAAAGAAGAGGAGAGCAAGAGGAAAGCCAUGAUGGAACAACUGAAAGAGGACGAAAGGAGGAAGAGAGGGAUGGAAGCAGAAAUGGAGAGAAAGGAACAGGAGGAGAGGCUGAGAGAAAAGGAAAGGGCCAAACUAAGAGAAGAGGAGAGAAAGAAAAAAGAGAUGCAAGAGAAGACAAGGAGAGAGCUGGAGCAGAUAACACAAAGAGAGAGGGAGGAGAAGGGGAAGAAAGCCAAAGUGGCCAAUAAAUUAAUCCAGGCACGUGACAGCGAUGACAUUGACGUAGAGAGCUUGAGUGAUGAAGAUAUGUGGAAGGAUAAGGAGCUCCCAAUGGACCAAAAGAAAAGGCAGACAAAAGACGAAAAGGAACA